AGGGGCAGCUGCAGGCAGGAGGGCAGGAGGAUUUGAGCAGCUGGGCUAAGGUCAGGCACAGAGGCUUGGGCUCAGCAGACAGCCAAAUGCUCGGCCCAGCUGCUACUGCCUCUUUCUGGGCCCUGUGCAGGAGGCAGACGCUGGCUGCCAGGCUGGCGGGCUCCCCUCCACGGCUGCAAGGCCACCCAGGCCCAGGGGUCUGCUCUUCCCUCUCCUCCUGCUGAAUGGCAUUCUUUCCUUUUCUUUCUCUGUCUCCUCACUCUCCCUUUCCUUCUAUUCCUUUUCUCCCUCAUCUCUUUGUGUCUUCAUUUCUGUCUUUGUCUUAUCCUAUGUCUCUCUUCUUUGUAUUUUUUCCCUCCCUCUCUCAGUUUCUUGGCCUCUCUUCAUCUCUCUGUCUCUGGGUUAAAAGUUGUAGGAAAAGGAUAGGAGGUGGGGCCCAAGAGGAAUCCCAGAUGAAACUGAGCUGAGCUCCUACUACGAUUUCAAUGUCUGUGUUUCCCCAAAAUUUAUAUGUCGAUCCCUAAUCUCCAGUGCAAUAGUAUUAGGAGGUGGGGCCUUUGGAAAGUGACUAGGUCAUGAGAGUGGAGCCCUCAUGAAUGCAACCAUAAGAGAGGCCUGAAGGAACUGUUUGCACCUUCUGCCAUGUGAGGUCAUAGCUACAAGGCGCUAUCUAUGAAUGUAUGAACAAGAAAGUGGGCUGUCAUCAGACAUCACACCUGCCACCACCUUGAUCUUGAACUUCCAGCCUCCAGAACUCACCUGGCAUGACAGUAAAUUCAUGCAUAAAUGCCCAAGGUCACAGAGCUGGGAUGAGAACCCAAGGCCUUCAGAAUGUCCAUCAAACUGUCGCUUCCUGACCUCUCGAAAUCACAGAAGCAAGAUCAGAUUCUAGGACUGAAAGGGGAAGAAACAGAAUGUAAGUCCAGUGCCCCAGGUUAACAGAAGAGGAAACAGAGGCCCAGAUAGGGCAAGACCCAUGUCCAAGCCCACAGAAGCAGUUAGUUCUGGCCGAGCCAGGCCCGACUCCCUGCCCAUCCUCCUGUAGUCUUAUAAAACUCAUCCCUUUGCUACCUGCAGGGGACUAAGGGAGUGCCUCUCUCUGGCUGCAGCUGGGUGGUUUUGUAGAGGAUGUGGCUGAGAGUUCGUCAGCUGUGGCCCCACUCAGACAGCUCUCUGUCCAUGGGUGGCUUUGUAUUGGAGUGUGCUAUCAAAGGACUUGACCUGGAUCGAACCAAUGGCCAAUUACGCCUUCCUGUGGUGCACUGAGCUGAGCUUACUCAAGGCUGACAGGCUGAGGGGGUAAACAACAGUGCAUGGGCAUGCCAUCCAAAUCACCCUACCUAUCCAAGCCUGGCGUGCAGCCAGGCAUCCAUUAGCUGUGUUACUCACUGGCUCUCCUUCAACCAUCAUUAGUCUCUCUGUUGUAAACAUGAGAAAAAAUGAAGUUCAGAGAGGAGAGGUAAGCAGCCUUAAGUUACACAGCUGGUAAGUGGAUAAACCAGGAUGCCAAGCCAGGCCUGCUGGAAUGCAAACCCAUACUCUCCCUGCUUUACAAAAAUCCCUACAUUCUGCAAGAGAGGCACUGAGUCUCCUCAUCUAGCACCUGUCUGUGGGGCCUCACUUUCCUCAUCUGUGAAAUGGGUGGGGUAUGAGAAAAGUACUCACUGGCCAGCCAGGACAAGGCACGAGUGGCAGCCAGGCUGGGGGCUGAAAAGAAUGGGAGCCAAGUCAAGAGCUCUCCCAUCAUUUCCAAGGGCACAGUAUUAACUCCCACAUUUGCCCAUCAUUUGUUCAAGCAAAACCUUGUUCACCAAGGCCCAGUGAGGGUCUGGAUGCCCAGAGGAGACUUUGGUCUGGAAGGAGGAAAUACUCUUUCUAUACCCAUAAAACCAGUGAGCACAGAAAAACAUGCCAGGUGCAAUGUUCCCUGGCAAUGUCUCCCAGAAAAUUCCAAAUCCUUCAGUGCUUGGUGAAGGGAAAAGCAGAUUUUGUGGAUAAUUGCUUUAGGAAAACCCUGAGUUGAAUGAAGCUCAGCAGAUGACUGCAGGACUUUUCAGAGCCUUUAAAAUGCUAACAAGCUUUCUAGUUCACCAAGAGAAGUGGAAUGUUUUCGAAACAUACUUGAUCAUGCAAAGUGUUUCAGAGCAUUUCAGAAGAACAAUGCCUGUGUUAUACCCUUUAGAAAACCCUGUGCUGGGGAAGAGGAAAGUAGGAAGAGCUACAGUAUAUAUUUAAUUUACGGUAAAGAGGCAAGUAAAUUAGAGGAGGACAUAUAUUGCCAAAUGAGGGGACAGCUUUUUCAGAAAUGUGGCAUUAAAAAUGCACAGGCUUCCCUCUCCCUCUCCCUCUCCCUGCCCUCUCCCUCUCCCUCUCCCUGCCCUCUCCCUCUCCCUCUCCCCACGGUCUCCCUCUCCCUCUCUUUCCACAGUCUCCCUCUGAUGCCGAGCCGAAGCUGGACUGUACUGCUGCCAUCUCGGCUCACUGCAACCUCCCUGCCUGAUUCUCCUGCCUCAGCCUACCGAGUGCCUGCGACUGCAGGCGCGUGCCGCCACGCCUGACUGGUUUUCGUAUUUUUUUGGUGGAGACGGGGUUUCACCGUGUUGGCCGGGCUGGUCUCCAGCUCCUAACCGCGAGUGAUCUGCCAGCCUUGGCCUCCUGAGGUGCCGGGAUUGCAGAUGGAGUCUGGUUCACUCAGUGCUCAAUGGUGCCCAGGCUGGAGUGCAGUGGCGUGAUCUCGGCUGGCUACAACCUCCACCUCCCAGCCGCCUGCCUUGGCCUCCCAAAGUGCCGAGAUUGCAGCCUCUGCCCGGCCGCCACCCCGUCUGGGAAGUGAGGAGCGUCUCUGCCUGGCCGCCCAUCGUCUGGGAAGUGAGGAGCCCCUCUGCCUGGCUGCCCAGUCUGGAAAGUGAGGAGCAUCUCUGCCCGGCCGCCAUCCCAACUAGGAAGUGAGGAGCGCCUCUUCCCGGCCGCCAUCCCAUCUAGGAAGUGAGGAGCGUCUCUGCCCGGCCGCCCAUCGUCUGAGAUGUGGGGAGCGCCUCUGCCCCACCGCCCCAUCUGGGAUGUGAGGAGUGCCUCUACCCGGCCGCGACCCCGUCUGGGAGGUGAGGAGUGUCUCUGCCCGGCCGCCCUGUCUGAGAAGUGAGGAGACCCUCCACCUGGCAACCGCCCAGUCUGAGAAGUGAGGAGCCCCUCUGCCCGGCAGCCGCCCCGUCUGAGAAGUGAGGAGCCCCUCCGCCCGGCAGCCACCCCAUCUGGGAAGUGAGGAGCGUCUCCACCCAGCUGCCACCCCGUCCGGGAGGGAGGUGGGCAUAUCAAUCACAGUGGUCCAAUGAGCCUUGAGCCAGAACUUCUGCUGGGAUUACUGGAAAAAAAGCUCAUUUAUUGCCAGAGUUCCUGCAAGCUUGGAGCUGCUAGAGGCCAUCUUUGCAACCUCGUGGGGAGAUCUUUCGGGAAAAUGAAACCAUCACAAAGGCAAGCAGAGUCUAGAGACUGAAACAGAUUUCUGUCAACAUCCUAUGGGCCCUUGCUCCCAGCCAUGCCUGAAGUUGGCUGUACCUCCGGGACCUAGACAUUUUAGUUACUCAAAAUAAUAAAUUCUCUUGUGUCCGAAACCAAUUUGAAUUAGGAUUCUGUCACUGGCAACUGACAGAAUCAACUGCCUAACAACAGUUAUAAAACAUAGUCCCAUACAGGUUUUUUGUUGUUGUUCUUCAACAAAUUGUUCUUCAUGCACAUUAUUCAUUCAUUCAAAAUAAUACAUAUUGGACAUGUAUUGUGUACAUGUAACCUAUACCGGUAAGGCUUCCAGGUACAGAUGUUCAAGUUGUGCACUACCCAACUCCAGGGGAUUGGCCUUCAUGUAGUGCACUACCCAACUCCAGGGGAUUGGCCUUCAUGUAGUGGCCCCCUUGGGUUACACAGUGCAGCACCCUUGGGCCAUGGGAAUAUACGAAUAUAUAAAUCAGCCCACCACACAGAAAGGGUCCAUGUCUCACUACAGCCUCUAAACCCUGCCAUUCUCUGGAGUGGUAAGGAAAUGAAGAGACUCUUUACAGUAGGAAAAACAUAAGGUGCGGUAUUAGGACACCUGGAUUGGCAUCUUCACUGUAUUAUUUACUAACCAAGUGUGAUGUUGGAUAAGCCAGUUAAGUUUUCUUAGCUGUUGCUUCUUUAUCUGUAAAAUAGGAAUGAUAAUAUUACCAUCCCUGUUGAAAUCCUUUUUUUUUUUUUUUUUUUUUUUUUGAGACGGAGUCUUGCUCUGUCACCCAGGCUGGAGUGCAGUGGCACAAUCUCAGCUCACUGCAAGCUCCGCCUCCCGGGUUCAUGCCAUUCUCCUGCCUCAGCCUCCCGAGUUGCUGGGACUACAGGCACCCACCAUCAUGCCCGGCUAAUUUUUUGUAUUUUUAGUAGAGGUGGGGUUUCACCAUGUUAGCCAGGAUGGCCUUGAUCUCCUGACCUCGUGAUCUGCCCGCCUCAGCCUCCCAAAGUGCUGGGAUUACAGGCAUGAGCCAUCGCGCCCGGCGGAAAUCCUUCCUAUCCUUCAAAGCCCAACACGAUCACCACCUCCUCCAAGAAGCCUUGCCUGAUUGUCUCCGUGGCCACAAAGUGGUGACUCAGGAGGAAAAGAGAGAAGUAAAGGCGCAUCAUGGGUGAAGAAAUGACCUGAGAACUUGAAAUCCAAGCCCGGCCCAUGCAGGCUGUUUUUCUUAGUCCUUCCUCGCAGCAGGGCUGAGGUGGGAGAAACCGGCUGUAAGCACACUCAGUGGGAUGAUUUGUGGAUCGCCUCCUGGACACCUCAGAGUGCUACCUUGAGUGAGGGGAGAACAGCUGUCCUCUCAUCUCAUCACCUAGAAUAAGAGAGAAGGCCUGUCUGUCACCUGCACCACCAAAGCUUGAGCACUAUCAAUUUGGGAAGAAGCGGCUGUAGUGGUCAUCCAGACAGCACCUAACUCCCCAGGGAAGCAGGCUCCAUUCUUCUCAUCCCUACCUGUUUUUCCCAUGGGUAGGGGGUGUGGAUAAACUGUGGAAGGCAGAAAUGACACCCCUGGCUUGUCAUCAUCCCCCAGAUUUCAGGGUGGAGGGACUCUCGCAGUCACCCAACCUGCCUGCUCUCUGGGGCUGACCUGCCUUCCCACUGGGACCCCUCCCUCCCAUCCAGGCCCAUUGGCUGGCCCCCCGAGCAGGAGGGAAAACACCCUCCAGCCCAUGGGAUUUGUUGCUUUCUUUCCCUCUCCACAGGGACCUGACAAGCCUCCAGUCCAGCUCUGUUCCAAAGCCUUCCAGACUCCCUGAUGUCUGCAUUUGCAUGGAAUCCAAUCUUCUACACAACCCCCUCACCUCCAGCCCAGCCCUUUCUUCAAACCCCCAGCCUAGACACUUACAAUAGACAUAGCACUGAAUCUCGUCGAUUGCUGUCAGCUACAGGUCCUCCCCAGCCUGAAGAGCCAAACUGGUUACCACAGAGGUUCUCGAGGAAGGAACCCAGUCCAGGAGGUCAGAGUCUUGGUUUCCCAAGAUGGCCGGACUACUGAGUUGCUGUGUGACCUUACACAAGUGAUUCAAACUCUCUGAAUCUUCCAGAGCUGAUAGAGCCACCGAAGCAGAGAAGGAGUGGGGGAGGAGAAGUCUGCAAGUGUGCACUGGACCGUGUCCUAAAGUGCCAGCCAGAUGGCCAUCUGUGCGCUUUGGCCUCCCCAGUCCUGCCAGGGAAGGAAGUAUGAAGCCAAAGCCAGAUGAGAGUGAAGACCUGGCCAACAGCCUCUCUGCAGACCCUGCCAAGCACAUGCCACCCCCUCGGUCAUGUGCACACACACACCUGCACACACACACUCUGCUCAGUCCUUCAGCUGGUCAGCGCUGAUGGCUCUUGUGGGGGGCCUCUGCUCUGUCCCGAUCCACCCAUGCUCACAGUCCCCCCUGCAGAAGCACUAGUAAUGCUCAGAGGACUUUCCAAAGCCCCUACGGAACCCAGGGACUGCUCACCCGUGGCUGUUGGUUAUGUCAGAUAUCGGAGAACCAGCCCCAAAGACAGGCUACUGUUGUGGGAAAGCCCAGAACAUAAGACUGCAAGGUCUGGUUCUUUCUGGAAUCACUGCACUCCCUGGAGAAGGCCACACCCCUUCCUCUUUCAGGCUUUAGCUGCGGCAUCUGUAAAAUGGUGAUCCUAACCCCUGUCCUGCCUGCCUUAUGGAGACAGUGAGGAUUAAAUGUGUGUUAGAAAGGAAAGCUCCCUGUAGGUAAGAAAGUGUUGAGCAGACCUCACAACCAAUGCUUUCCGUAUGUGCUUCCAGGAUUUCAGGGAGAUUUUUCUAUUUUCCAUGGGUGUGAUAUGUCUCCAUACAGCCUGGAGCCUAGUAUUUGUGCAGAUAGUCAGGACUGGAAGAGCUCAGAUGUUGGAGAAUUUACUGCAGGCUGGUCCUGUAUAUUGUAUCGGCUUGUCACCUUCCUCGUUCUGCACACUGGAUCUCUGUUAACAUAGCCCCUGACUCUCACAGAACUUAUUGUCAGCUCUAACCCUGUGCUUGUUUUCUGCACUCUGCUGCUAACAUUCCCAGCCCUUGUAUGGAUAGGCCUGGGGCCUCAUGGCACCCUGUUCCCAGGCCUGCAGAAAUCUGCUCUCUGGGAGCACCUCCACCAGACCUGGCUGACCGUGUCCCUGAGCCAGAAGGGGAUUAGAGGCCCCCACUGAGCUGGAGCUGGAGAUUUGGAACAGAAUACCCCCUCCCUUUCAGCUGGGCAAAAAGGAGAAGGAGCAGAGCCAACAGCCCCAGGGCUUCCUGAAGAAACUUUGCACCAGGAGCCUCCCAUUUCCUGGGCUUCUGCUGAUGGAACAAACUUUCCUCGGCCCUUGGCGGCCCAGAUUCUGGAACAGGCUACUCUGCAGUCAGGCACUGUGUGGGGGAAGGGGUGUCAGCCUGGGAUGGCAAGGACAAAGCCCCAGCCCAUGCUGCUCCCCAAUCUCUCCUUCCACCCAACUUGCUCUGUGGCCUCCAGCAAGGCCCUUCUCUUCCUGGGGCCUUAAUUUCCUCAGCUGUAGAAUGAGUCAGGGAAAUAAGAUUGGUCCGGUGAAAUGUCACAGUUGAGUGGGUCUUACAGAGGCAGAUUCUACAUGGAGAAGGGGUGUGGAGCACCACCAUCUUUUCUGAUUCCACUCUCACUUCCCAGCUCUCACAGCCUUAAAGCAAACUCCAGCUGCCCAGACCUCCACUGUGUGCCCUGGGCUCUGGGCCUUGGCUGAUCUGGUAAAUGCUGCCCCCACACGCCAAAAGGACAGAGGAAACAACUAAGAGAGUCCCCAAGGCCCAAGGCUGGAACAAUUUGAGCAACAAAAUACAUCAUGAGAGUAUCAAAUUAUAACUCCUAGAAUAAAAUAAAAAUCCAGGAGUCCACAUGGUUAUAAAUAAGUACCUGAAUAAAUAAAUAAAUGAAGGCAGCUCUUCCUUACAGAAGAGUUCCAAUUAAUAAAUGUGACAUGAACAAGGGAAAUAAAAAAACACCAUUAGAACACCACAGUAAUAAUUAUUGCAGACAAGACGCACUGAUGUAUGCUAAAAUUAAUGGGUGAAAGUUUGAGGAGAAGCAGCAUGUUCGAAUUGUCUCAAAGUAUCUCCCCCAAGAGAUUUACUAAUUAUAAAGGGGAAAGAAAAUACAGUAAUCUGCAGUGGAGAAACCCAGUAGGUGCCACCUUAAUCAAGUGACCAAGUUAACAUCACCAGUAAUAAGACGUAGCAACAUCACCACACGCCCCGAUAGGAUGCACAGAGAAGACAUUUCAUGUAUAUAGUAUUCUUGCCAAAAAAUGCAUAACAUCAAUUUCAUCAUGGGGGGACAAUCAGACUGAGGGGCAUUCUACAAAAUCACCCAUCAGUACCCUUUCAAAUGUCAAGGUCAUGGACGGCAAGGAUGCUCUGAGGAACCAUCACAGAUUGGAGGGGAUUAAGGAGAAUGACAGCUAAAUGAAACGUGAGAGCCUGGAUUGGAUCCUGGAAUAGUGGAAGGAUAUUAAGAGAAAAACUGGUGAACUCUGAAUCAAGUCUGUAUUUUAGUAACAGUAUUGCCCAAUGUUGUUAAUGUAAUGAUUUUGAUAAAUUAUACAAGAUGCUAACAUUAGGGAAAGCUAGGUGAAGGUGUACAGAAACCCUCUGUGCUAUAUUUGUAACUUUUUAAUUUCAAAUAAAAAGUAAAAAAUAAAACUGUUUCAUUC
Molecule: long non-coding RNA, 8203 nt
Filed under: Homo sapiens (human)
Lineage: Eukaryota; Metazoa; Chordata; Mammalia; Primates; Hominidae
Description: non-protein coding lnc-POLR3A-8:1
Source: RNAcentral